Bactrocera neohumeralis is the source of this 550-nucleotide long non-coding RNA. RefSeq lists it as uncharacterized. NCBI's taxonomy places the organism in Eukaryota, Metazoa, Arthropoda, Insecta, Diptera, Tephritidae. The record is from RefSeq and is a predicted model, not a curated record. The transcript has 3 exons.
UUUUUUGUUUUUUUUGCUAUUUUUAUUUAGUGAAUGCUUGCUCGGUGAGCUUAGAGAGUGUUUGUUGAAUUUUGGAUGUGGUAAUAGAUAUUGCUGUCAUGAGAGGAAAUGCACUACUGCUGGCUUAAGAGGCAUCUUUUGAGACUUUUACAUUAAUUCUUCAUAGAAGAAUGAGCUGGGUUGUUUAUCGUGACAUUAUCCACACGUGCUUUUCUCACCAACAAGCCGUCUACUCCAAUUCAAAACCUGCUUAUUGUUUCAGGCAUCGCUUCAAUCACCGCACAUAUUGUUCGGACCUUUAUAGCAUAUAGCUGUCAUAUGAAUGGAUCGGUCGUAUUCAAGAAAAUUUUAAAUAACCAUCUUUUGUUUUUGUAUAUACACUUGUGUUCACAUAAUUAAAUCACUGCAUUGCAAAAUCACGUUCCGAGAGAGACAAGACCUAACGACUAUAGACAAAUAGUACGGAUGAGCCAGGUGGAUAAAUUUUUGACGUCAAGGGAAAUUAGAGCACAAAUGGAACAUAAGCAUGGUGUACGAGUAUCAGCACAAA